GCAGUACAGCACUUCAGCGAACGGCAGUACCCUCUGACAGACCGGCCGGCCCCAAGCUGAACACGCGGGUUCGAUUCCCGUCAUCUGCUCCA
This 92-nucleotide transfer RNA is filed under the name Mycolicibacterium lutetiense. RNAcentral describes it as "tRNA-OTHER". The record is from RNAcentral. Lineage: Bacteria; Bacillati; Actinomycetota; Actinomycetes; Mycobacteriales; Mycobacteriaceae.